RNAcentral lists this long non-coding RNA (7958 nucleotides) under Panax ginseng (ginseng). Its description in RNAcentral is "long non-coding RNA (PGIN_LNC000900)". The record is from RNAcentral. Lineage: Eukaryota; Viridiplantae; Streptophyta; Magnoliopsida; Apiales; Araliaceae.
UCAGGUUUAAUUUUGUCAAUUUUAGGGUUUUUACGGUACAGGUUUUGGUGGUAAUUGAAUUAAUUUUUGAAUAGGAGAGAAGAUGUGGGCGGCUUCCUGCCUAGCAUCUUGUUGCGCUGGGUGCGCAUGCAGUGCCUGCCAGACCGUGGUAUCAGGGAUAAGCCGCCGAUCUGCUAGAAUUGCGUAUUGUGGUCUAUUCGCACUGUCACUGAUCGUUUCAUGGAUUCUUAGUGAGGUUGCUGCACCUCUUAUGGAGAAGAUCCCUUGUAAGAUGUUUUUUUUUCUGUGAAGUUGUCAAGAGAAUUGUGGUUUUUAUAAAUCAACUGUUUGAGGUUGCUGCACCUUUUUAAUAUUAGUUUUGGAACCUAUAAGAAAAUUUGAAAGGGAUUGAGGAUGUUUCAUUAAAUACUACACCGGAACGAGUUUAUGUUGUACAUAAAUGUUAUUACUUUUUGUACAAUGUUAUUGUUAGUUCUGAUUGAUUGUAACUGGGACCCAAAUUGUACAUAUGGGUAGACGGUAGUGCAGGGAUAGUCUUGCUCAUGUUCAGUUUUACCUGGUGAAUAGUGAUUGUAGUACAAGUCUUAGAUAAGUUAAUGUAAAUUCCCACUGUUUCCCAUCAGUUCUAACAACUCAAAAGGCAUUAGGCAUAUGAUGCUUUCAACCAUGGAACUCUCAUGUUCUAAUGACCAGUUAACUUUUACUAGAUUGUGGCUUUAGCACAAAUAUGCUUUGACUGAAUUCCCUGAUUGAUGCUGUUGAAAUUGGGUUUAUUUAUUAAGUUGAUGAUGACGAUGAGAUGCAAUGAUCUUCCAAAUGAAAUUCAUACGGUCAUUUUGAAGUUCUGCAUGCCACUGUGUUAUUCAAAUUGGUUUAGCAGACGUGCUGAUUUCUUGUUGGAUACCAAUGCAGGGAUUAAUCAUUUUCACAAAACUCCAAAUAGGGAGUGGUUUGAAACUGAUGCAGUGCUGCGAGUUAGUUUGGGAAACUUCCUAUUUUUCUCUGUUCUAUCUCUUCUUAUGGUUGGUGUAAAAAAUCAGAAGGAUCCUCGUGAUGGUUUGCACCAUGGUGGGUGGAUGAUGAAAGUUAUCUGCUGGUGUCUCCUAGUCAUCUUUAUGUUUUUCCUUCCAAAUGAGAUUAUCAGCUUCUAUGGUAAGGCAUUUUCUCCAUCAGUUGCUUAGUGCGUAAUCACACGAGGGUUUAUAUGAUUAUUUUUCCUUUCUAUUUUAAAGCAUUUCCUCGUGAAAAUCUUAUUUAUUUCAGGUUUACUGAAAACACCAAAAAACAAUUUCUAAAUGAGAUACCAUUCAUUAUACCAUCCGCUUAUAGGACUUGCAUCACGUAUAGUCCAUUGUAAACAUAUAAUUUUAAAGUCUCCUGUUCAGCAUCAUGGAAGAAUUUACUUAUCUGGAGCAAAAGUGAAAUGAGUUAACCUUACGAUAAAUGAUGUUAAUCAAGGAAGAGGCUUAUCCAAGUUAGCAGCAAAGACAUGUAGACAAUGAAACUGGGACAGAGUUGAUCUUAGAUAAAAUAUACCGCAAAUUAUAUUACACGCCCGCGUGAUGGGCUGGGUUUUGUUUCGGUUGAUGGUAGAUUUAUUGCAAUUAUAUAUGUCUCAGCUGCAUGAGUAUUGUUUAAUGUGAGGUGAUUUUUGUCAGCAGCUAUGGAUCAGAAAGGUCUUUAAUUCUUACUUCUAAGAGUUUGGUAGGAUGCCAAGAUAAUAGAAGUGAGACCAGGCUUAAAUGUGAAGCUGUUUCUGAGUUUCAUUUCUUCAUCUCUUAGCAUUAGCCUUGUCUAGUGUAUAUAUUCACAUCAAAAGUUGUGCAGUCCUCGACACAACUUGACACGGUUAUCUUGUUGCAAAAUUUCGAUUGAAUAUCUUUUAUCAGCCUUCUUUCUUUUCUUUUACUUUUAUGUUUUCAUGUGUAAAUUAAUCCUAAUGUUUGGUUUGCAAAUGCAGAAACGACAUCAAAAUUUGGUUCUGGCUUAUUCCUUCUUGUUCAAGUUGUGCUUUUGUUGGAUUUUGUGCAUGGUUGGAAUGACAAGUGGGUCGGAUAUGAUGAGCAGUUCUGGUCAGUUGCUUGUAUUGUUUCUCCAACUGUCAUUUUUCCAUUUUUUUUUGUUUUUUGUUUGCUAAAUUGCACUUUUGUGAUCUAUAGGCGCUAUCUUUGGCAUUUGAAUCUUUUGUAGUAAUAUCUUUUUGAAUUAUGCAGGUAUGCCGCCUUGCUUGUUGUUUCAUUGGUUUGCUAUGUGGCAACAUUUUCCUUCGCCGGCCUUCUCUUUUAUUUGUUUACUCCAUCUGGACAUGAUUGCGGACUCAACACCUUUUUCAUUGUGAUGACCCUGAUUUUUGCAUUCCUUUUUGCUAUAGUUACGCUGCAUCCUGUUGUAAGUUCCGACCUUUCAUUUUCUCUUAGCUAAGCCAAUCAUUAUCUUUCAUUCUUACUCUUUGGUUGAGCCUUUUUACACAAAGUUUAGUUCAUUUAACAAGCUGCUUAUAUUGUUGAUCUCACUGGUUAAACCUCAAGGGGUGGGAGUAAUGGCAGAGGCCUUGAGGAAUGACCUCAAGAUUGCUAGUUCCAAUCCCCAUAUUUAGGUUGCCUAUAUAUAUAUAUAUAUGAGUGUGUGUGUGUGUGUGUGUGUGUGUGUGUGUAUUGAUCUCCUUGUUUCAACUGCCACAAAAUAGGUAAGUGGCAGCAUUUUGCCAGCCUCAGUUAUAUCUUUGUACUGCACAUACCUCUGCUAUAGUGGACUUGCUAGUGAACCAAGGGAAUAUGCUUGCAAUGGUCUUCACAAGCAUUCUAAAGCGGUCAGCACUGGCACACUCACUGUUGGGCUGCUUACAACUGUGUUAUCUGUUGUCUAUUCUGCUGUUCGUGCGGGGUCUUCUACAACUUUGCUCUCCCCCCCAAGUUCACCUCGAGCAGGUCAGUGUCUAAUUAUUGAUGAACGCAUUGUGCAUUUGGAAGUGCAUUUCGUCUUCAUGCUUUAUGAAGUAAAUGAGUUUUUGAAGUUUUCUUCUGGUAAAAAAAGUAUGCUGAUUCCAAGUGUUGAUUUCACAAAACCAUGUUUGGUAAAGACACGCUGAUUCCAAGUGUUGGUCAAGUUUGUUUAUUCUGAGAUAUUCAAUUGAUCUGAUUUGGUGUUUAGAGAUUUGCAUAUUCCUCAUCCUAUUGGUCAAUUGUUUGCUUUCUUUCAAAGAUGCCAACAUUUAUCACAACUGAUUCAACUUUUAUAUCAUAUGGUGGUGUUUUUGGCAAAAGGUGUUAUUAAAACACUGCUAGUGCAUUUACUCUUAUUGUCGCGAUUAACAGGAUUGGAUUAACCGACUACAGCUGAAAUCUAACAUCUUGAAUUUCCUGGUGAAGGUGCUGGGAAGCCUCUGCUUCCUCUGGACAAGGCAGAUGAGCAUGAAGAGGAAAAAAACGCCAAGCCGGUCACAUACUCGUAUUCCUUCUUCCAUAUUAUCUUCUCUCUUGCCAGCAUGUACUCGGCAAUGCUUCUCACUGGGUGGUCGACUUCAGUUGGGGAGAGUGGUAAGUUGGUGGAUGUGGGGUGGGCAUCAGUCUGGGUCAGAAUCUUGACUGGGUGGGCAACUGCAGGUCUGUUUAUUUGGUCAAUGGUUGCCCCUCAUCUGUUCCCGGACAGGGAGUUCUGAGCAUAGUAAGCUGAAGUUGAACACGUAAUUGAUAUUUCUGUGUAGAGGGUGGUAUGUUGUUCUGUUUAUAUUGACGUGUUAGAGAAUGAAAGCAUGUUUGUGGAAAUUGGAUACAUCUGAUGUUGUGGUAAUGUAACCCAGAACUGUUUCUGGAUAUCAUUUCAAUUUCUAAAUAAAUACAAUCUGGUUUGGUGUUUGUUUUUCAAAAUAAUUCCAUUCUCAUGCUUGGUGGUUAAUUUUUAAUUUUAGAACAGGAGUAUAUAAUAUUAAUAAAGUGAGUGCCUUUGAGCGACCUCUUGAUAGCAGUUAACAUAUGGCAGGCUUAAAAUAUAGUUUCAAAUUCAAGCAAAAAUUAAUAUUCAAGAUAACAAUCAAUAGCAAGCAAUCAUGCGUAUUCUUUCCAUCUGCUCCUCAAUCUCUCUAAACUAAAAAAAUGCAAAAUUAAAAAUCCAAUGGAUAAGAUCUGCCCAUUAAAUUUCUUGAGACAAUUGGGAACCAUCCUAACAGACGGAGGCAGAGGAGAGCAAUAGAUCUGAAUUUAUUAAAAUGUUGGCCAAAAGACAAGGUUGCUCACUUUCUACAAGAGUAUAGAUUCAAACUACCCUUCCUUUGUUUUGACCAUCAAGAAACGAAAUACUAGUACUACUCUCAUUACAAGGCAAUCAAAACAAGAACAGAACCAUUAAAAACAAGGCCAUGCUCAGCCUUCUGCUUUUAUAAAAUUAAACAUGAGUUAAUCAAAAUAUAGCAACUGGAUACUGUAUAAAUUGAACUUAAUUAAAACCACACACUAUUAAGUUAAUGUAAUUUUUUUGACAUGAUGUCAAAUGGAAAUGGCAAGGAAUUAUCACAGCUAUGAUGUACUGCACAAUACCAACCCAACUUUUUCUUAAAGCAAUUGAAUCACCAUCCACUAUAUCCAUAAAACCAUAUAAUAGAUGACUGCUGUUGAGUUUCUCAUGGCAUUGUGAGGCUUCCACAAAAACUCAGGGAGCAAUGAUGAUACGGCUAUGAGCAGCAACCUGAAAGUAAUUUAUUUUUUAAGAAAAUAAUGCCAAGAAGUUAAUCUUUUACCAAAAAAAGGUAUUAACCCAAAACAAAUGACAAGCACCUGCUAGUUACUUUUGGUGUACACUAGUUUCUUAUCCAAAGCCCUAGUAUUUUCCAUUACAAAAAUAGAGUAAAGUAAAUUUUAAAAAAAAAGAAGAGCAUAACUUAAAAAAAGAAACAAAGAUACACACACAAAAAGCAUCCUGGGACUUUGUCACGCAAACAAGCAGGAAAAAAAAUAUAGGCAAAAGAAUAUCACAACAAAAUAUGCAAGUAGGAAAUGCUUAAGAAGUUGGAAGUUGCCAAGACUCCCCCUCCUAUAUUCAAUGUUCAACAAGUAUGUGGUUGUGAGAAUAUUGACAUUAUCGACAUAUUAUUUUACGAACAACCCAGUAGUCCAUACUAAUACAUCUUAGGCAAUUAGACUUAAAUCAGUCCCACACCAAUUACUGAUACUUGUAUCAACAGUCACUAAUUCGCGAGGCACAUGAGCUCCGUUAUUAGCCUUGAUUUUGGAAUUUGGUGGUACUUAGAACGUCAGUACAAUAUUUUCCCACAAGAAAAACUAAUAACAUUGACAAUGAGAUUCUUGAAAAAUCACAAGUACCAUAAAAAAACACCUUAAAUAAUCAGUAAAAAAGGCUAAGAAGAAACACCCACCUUGAAUACAACUUUCCCACAAAGUAAAACUAAAACCUGUCCUUCAAAAAGAUAUUUAUAUAUAUAUAUAUAUAUAUAUAUAUAUAGGGAAACGAUCCGUGGACAACGUUAGCUGGGAACCCGUGGACAACUAACGCUCAUCCAGUCGUCCAAAAUUGGAGUUAAUGGCUGAGAUGAGCUCCCAGCUGCUAGAGGGAGUAGCGGCCAGCAAUAAUUUUAAAAUUCCUCUUUCCUGGCCGCUAGAGGGAGUAGCGGCCAGUCAAAACGUUGUCGUUUUGGCNNNNNNNNNNNNNNNNNNNNNNNNNNNNNNNNNNNNNNNNNNNNNNNNNNNNNNNNNNNNNNNNNNNNNNNNNNNNNNNNNNNNNNNNNNNNNNNNNNNNUAAGAAAUAAUGAAGGAAUGAACUUCUAUUUAUAGAAGAAUGGACUGAAUAGUAACCAAUCCAUGAACGGUCCAGAUCAAUUUACUUUAAACGAACGGUCCAAAUUGAUAUACAAUAAAAUAUAUUCUAUUCUAUUUAUAAUCUAAUAAAACGAAUAACUUUUAAAAAGAUUUUACUAUGCAGGCACUAUGCAAAUACUAUGCAUAAUAAAAUAUAAUAUAUUCUAAUUAUUGUCUAAUAAAACGAAUAAUUUUAUAAAAGUAUUCUGUUUUAUAUAAAAAGAUUUUACUAUUAGCCUAAUAAAACGAAUAACUUUAUAAAAGUAUUCUGUUUUAUAUAAAAAGCUUUUAUAUUUUAUUACACUAAUAAUACUAAUAAAAUAAAAUUUCAUCAUCAUUAUUAUUAUUCACACUAUUAAUCGACCAGGUCGUUCCCAGGAAAGAGGGGACUUUCUAAUAAGGAUUUCUUUCUAUUGGCGCGCAAUUAGGUGACCAAACCUCUCAUUGACAUAACUUAUAGACAUCGUUAAUAUUGCAAAUAAUAAUAUUAAUAACUCUGUUAUCUCAAUUAUUGAUUUAAUAAUAUAAAAAAAAUAUUGACAAUAAUUGAAUCAAAUAACGUGAGAUAUUAUGCAACAAUUACUGAAGCAAUAAUUGAAUAAGACUGAGUGAUUUCUCACGUAAGCAUCAAUAAUCAAUACAAUGUGCUACUAUGCAAUCACGCGUAUUCCUGUACUUUUAACACUGGGUGUUUCAACAGUUAACGGUAAAACUUCCGCCGUUAUUUUCAUAAAAUAUUUUUUUGUCAUUUUCUUAAUCUAACAAUAAUUCCGUUGUGGGGUCCACCAAUGAUUGUGCCGUCGUACGAAUAUUCUCUGUUAAAACGAAUAUUCCCCGACCAAUCGAAUAUUAUAUAACAACUUGCGUACUUUGCAAAAUUUAUAAAUAUUAUCCACAACUAUAACAUUAUAUCAAAUUCAUUCAAAAAUGAUAAUUAUAAAAAAUUCAUCUUUAUUCAUAAAAGUUGGGGUCUUACAGUCAAAUUGUAUAUAAGUUUUAAUAUUCUAUUUUAAAAUUCAUCAGAAAGAUAAAAGUAAAAAAAAAUCUUUAACGUAAAAAUAAUAUAAAAAACUAAUUAUUAAUAUUUUUAAAAAUUUUAUAAAAAAAAUCACUCACUAAGAAAGAUAAAUAAAAAGGAACGAUGGAGUAUAAUUUAUACCGACAAAGUUUGGAACCGGUUGAUGGGUCGGGUUUUAGUAACUCGCUGUCUCCGAAGUCCGAACAGUGACAUAAAGACAAAGUCAUGCUAUAUCACAGCCGGGUGUCCAUAGAAAAAGCACCGUCUCAUCAAAUAGAAUUCGUAGUCCAAGUCGUCAAGCUAUUCUUCUCCGUAUUCCGCUAUUGUAUACGCCUGAUCAUCGUCCCGCCGCUAGAAGGUACACAAUCAUUCGUCCAUAUUUCCAUUGAAUCAAUUUAAAACUUUUUAAAACCAGGUUCGAGAAUUAUUAUAAUAAUUUAUUAAUCAGAGCUUAUUCAUUCUUUAUUGAAGUAAUUAUCAUGUUGAUGAUCAGGUUUAAUUUUGUCAAUUUUAGGGUUUUUACGGUACAGGUUUUGGUGGUAAUUGAAUUAAUUUUUGAAUAGGAGAGAAGAUGUGGGCGGCUUCCUGCCUAGCAUCUUGUUGCGCUGGGUGCGCAUGCAGUGCCUGCCAGACCGUGGUAUCAGGGAUAAGCCGCCGAUCUGCUAGAAUUGCGUAUUGUGGUCUAUUCGCACUGUCACUGAUCGUUUCAUGGAUUCUUAGUGAGGUUGCUGCACCUCUUAUGGAGAAGAUCCCCUGUAAGAUGUUUUUUUUUCUUUCUUUGAAGUUGUCAAGAGAAUUGUGGUUUUUAUAAAUCAACUGUUUGAGGUUGCUGCACCUUUUUAAUAUCAGUUUUGGAACCUAUAAAAUGAAAAUUUGAAAGGGAUUGAGAAUGUUUCAUUAAAUACUACAUAAAUGUUAUUACUUUUUGUACAAUGUUAUUGUUAAUUCUGAUUGAUUGUAACUGGGACCCAAAUUGUACAUUUGGGUAGACGGUAGUGCAGGGAUAGUCUUGCUCAUGUUCAGUUUUGCCUGGUGAAUAGUGAUUGUAGUACAAGUCUUAGAUAGUUAAUGUAAAUUCCCACUGUUUCCCAUCAGUUCUAACAACUCAAAAGGCAUUAGGCAUAUGAUGCGUU